Molecule: non-coding RNA, 149 nt
Filed under: Nomascus leucogenys (northern white-cheeked gibbon)
Lineage: Eukaryota; Metazoa; Chordata; Mammalia; Primates; Hylobatidae
Source: Rfam by way of RNAcentral
GCCAGGUGUGGUGGGGGCAUGCCUGUAGUCCAAGCUACUCGGGAGGCUGAGGCAGGAGGAUUGCUUGCACCUAGGAGUUCGAGGCUGCAGUGAGCUAUAAUCAUGCCACUGCAUUCCAGCCUGGGUGAAAGAGCAAGGCCCUGUCUCAU